ACUGCUCAGUAACACGUGGAUAACUUACCCUUAGAACUGGGAUAACUUUGGGAAACUGAAGAUAAUACCGGAUAUUAAGCUAUGCCUGCAAUGGUUUGCUUAUGAAACGUUUUUCGCCUAAGGAUAGAUCUGCGGCUGAUUAGGUCGUUGGUGGGGUAAAGGCCCACCAAGCCGAUGAUCGGUACGGGUUGUGAGAGCAAGAGCCCGGAGAUGGAACCUGAGACAAGGUUCCAGACCCUACGGGGUGCAGCAGGCGCGAAACCUCCACAAUGUACGAAAGUGCGAUGGGGGGAUCCCAAGUGCUAUUCUUAACAGAAUAGCUUUUCAUUAGUGUAAAAAGCUUUUAGAAUAAGAGCUGGGCAAGACCGGUGCCAGCCGCCGCGGUAAUACCGGCAGCUCAAGUGGUAGCUGUUUUUAUUGGGCCUAAAGCGUUCGUAGCCGGUUUAAUAAGUCUUUGGUGAAAGCUUGUAGCUUAACUAUAAGAAUUGCUGGAGAUACUAUUAGACUUGAAGUCGGGAGAGGUUAGAGGUACUACCGGGGUAGGGGUGAAAUCCUAUAAUCCUGGGAGGACCACCUGUGGCGAAGGCGUCUAACUAGAACGAUCUUGACGGUGAGUAACGAAAGCCAGGGGCGCGAACCGGAUUAGAUACCCGGGUAGUCCUGGCCGUAAACAAUGUGGACUUGGUGUUGGAAUGGCUUCGAGUUGUUCCAGUGCCGAAGGGAAGCUGUUAAGUCCACCGCCUGGGAAGUACGGUCGCAAGACGGAAACUUAAAGGAAUUGGCGGGGGAGCAC
RNAcentral lists this ribosomal RNA (793 nucleotides) under uncultured archaeon. RNAcentral describes it as "bacterial SSU rRNA". It matches the Rfam family "Archaeal small subunit ribosomal RNA", at positions 85 to 879 of the family's 1478-position model. The record is from RNAcentral.